This 132-nucleotide ribosomal RNA is filed under the name uncultured bacterium. RNAcentral's name for it is "partial 16S ribosomal RNA". It matches the Rfam family "Bacterial small subunit ribosomal RNA", at positions 335 to 467 of the family's 1533-position model. The record is from RNAcentral.
ACUCCUACGGGAGGCAGCAGUGGGGUAUUUUGCGCAAUGGGGGAAACCCUGAGGCAGCAACGCCGCGUGAGUGAGGAAGGUCUUAGGAUUGUAAAACUGUGUCAGGUGGGAAGAAAUGUAUGGGGUCUAAUA